AACUUUCAAAAACGGAUCUCUUGGUUCCCCCCUCCAUGAAAAACGCAACCAAAUGCCAUACCCAAUGGGAAUUGCCCCCAUCGGGAAUCCUCCAGUUCUUGAACCCCCAUUGGGCCCGUCGGGAUUCCGGGGGGCAUGCCUGUCUGAACGUCCUUU
RNAcentral lists this ribosomal RNA (156 nucleotides) under Pichia sp. SCN-2006a. RNAcentral's name for it is "5.8S rRNA". It matches the Rfam family "5.8S ribosomal RNA". From Rfam's summary of the family: 5.8S ribosomal RNA (5.8S rRNA) is a component of the large subunit of the eukaryotic ribosome. It is transcribed by RNA polymerase I as part of the 45S precursor that also contains 18S and 28S rRNA. Lineage: Eukaryota; Fungi; Ascomycota; Pichiomycetes; Pichiales; Pichiaceae. The record is from RNAcentral.